GGUUAAGCGACUAAGCGUACACGGUGGAUGCCCUGGCAGUCAGAGGCGAUGAAGGACGUGCUAAUCUGCGAUAAGCGUCGGUAAGGUGAUAUGAACCGUUAUAACCGGCGAUUUCCGAAUGGGGAAACCCAGUGUGUUUCGACACACUAUCAUUAACUGAAUCCAUAGGUUAAUGAGGCGAACCGGGGGAACUGAAACAUCUAAGUACCCCGAGGAAAAGAAAUCAACCGAGAUUCCCCCAGUAGCGGCGAGCGAACGGGGAGGAGCCCAGAGCCUGAAUCAGUGUGUGUGUUAGUGGAAGCGUCUGGAAAGGCGCGCGAUACAGGGUGACAGCCCCGUACACAAAAAUGCACAUACUGUGAGCUCGAUGAGUAGGGCGGGACACGUGGUAUCCUGUCUGAAUAUGGGGGGACCAUCCUCCAAGGCUAAAUACUCCUGACUGACCGAUAGUGAACCAGUACCGUGAGGGAAAGGCGAAAAGAACCCCGGCGAGGGGAGUGAAAAAGAACCUGAAACCGUGUACGUACAAGCAGUGGGAGCACGCUUAGGCGUGUGACUGCGUACCUUUUGUAUAAUGGGUCAGCGACUUAUAUUCUGUAGCAAGGUUAACCGAAUAGGGGAGCCGAAGGGAAACCGAGUCUUAACUGGGCGUUAAGUUGCAGGGUAUAGACCCGAAACCCGGUGAUCUAGCCAUGGGCAGGUUGAAGGUUGGGUAACACUAACUGGAGGACCGAACCGACUAAUGUUGAAAAAUUAGCGGAUGACUUGUGGCUGGGGGUGAAAGGCCAAUCAAACCGGGAGAUAGCUGGUUCUCCCCGAAAGCUAUUUAGGUAGCGCCUCGUGAAUUCAUCUCCGGGGGUAGAGCACUGUUUCGGCAAGGGGGUCAUCCCGACUUACCAACCCGAUGCAAACUGCGAAUACCGGAGAAUGUUAUCACGGGAGACACACGGCGGGUGCUAACGUCCGUCGUGAAGAGGGAAACAACCCAGACCGCCAGCUAAGGUCCCAAAGUCAUGGUUAAGUGGGAAACGAUGUGGGAAGGCCCAGACAGCCAGGAUGUUGGCUUAGAAGCAGCCAUCAUUUAAAGAAAGCGUAAUAGCUCACUGGUCGAGUCGGCCUGCGCGGAAGAUGUAACGGGGCUAAACCAUGCACCGAAGCUGCGGCAGCGACGCUUAUGCGUUGUUGGGUAGGGGAGCGUUCUGUAAGCCUGUGAAGGUGUACUGUGAGGUAUGCUGGAGGUAUCAGAAGUGCGAAUGCUGACAUAAGUAACGAUAAAGCGGGUGAAAAGCCCGCUCGCCGGAAGACCAAGGGUUCCUGUCCAACGUUAAUCGGGGCAGGGUGAGUCGACCCCUAAGGCGAGGCCGAAAGGCGUAGUCGAUGGGAAACAGGUUAAUAUUCCUGUACUUGGUGUUACUGCGAAGGGGGGACGGAGAAGGCUAUGUUGGCCGGGCGACGGUUGUCCCGGUUUAAGCGUGUAGGCUGGUUUUCCAGGCAAAUCCGGAAAACUAAGGCUGAGGCGUGAUGACGAGGCACUACGGUGCUGAAGCAACAAAUGCCCUGCUUCCAGGAAAAGCCUCUAAGCAUCAGGUAACAUCAAAUCGUACCCCAAACCGACACAGGUGGUCAGGUAGAGAAUACCAAGGCGCUUGAGAGAACUCGGGUGAAGGAACUAGGCAAAAUGGUGCCGUAACUUCGGGAGAAGGCACGCUGAUAUGUAGGUGAAGUCCCUCGCGGAUGGAGCUGAAAUCAGUCGAAGAUACCAGCUGGCUGCAACUGUUUAUUAAAAACACAGCACUGUGCAAACACGAAAGUGGACGUAUACGGUGUGACGCCUGCCCGGUGCCGGAAGGUUAAUUGAUGGGGUCAGCGCAAGCGAAGCUCUUGAUCGAAGCCCCGGUAAACGGCGGCCGUAACUAUAACGGUCCUAAGGUAGCGAAAUUCCUUGUCGGGUAAGUUCCGACCUGCACGAAUGGCGUAAUGAUGGCCAGGCUGUCUCCACCCGAGACUCAGUGAAAUUGAACUCGCUGUGAAGAUGCAGUGUACCCGCGGCAAGACGGAAAGACCCCGUGAACCUUUACUAUAGCUUGACACUGAACAUUGAGCCUUGAUGUGUAGGAUAGGUGGGAGGCUUUGAAGUGUGGACGCCAGUCUGCAUGGAGCCGACCUUGAAAUACCACCCUUUAAUGUUUGAUGUUCUAACGUUGACCCGUGAUCCGGGUUGCGGACAGUGUCUGGUGGGUAGUUUGACUGGGGCGGUCUCCUCCUAAAGAGUAACGGAGGAGCACGAAGGUUGGCUAAUCCUGGUCGGACAUCAGGAGGUUAGUGCAAUGGCAUAAGCCAGCUUGACUGCGAGCGUGACGGCGCGAGCAGGUGCGAAAGCAGGUCAUAGUGAUCCGGUGGUUCUGAAUGGAAGGGCCAUCGCUCAACGGAUAAAAGGUACUCCGGGGAUAACAGGCUGAUACCGCCCAAGAGUUCAUAUCGACGGCGGUGUUUGGCACCUCGAUGUCGGCUCAUCACAUCCUGGGGCUGAAGUAGGUCCCAAGGGUAUGGCUGUUCGCCAUUUAAAGUGGUACGCGAGCUGGGUUUAGAACGUCGUGAGACAGUUCGGUCCCUAUCUGCCGUGGGCGCUGGAGAACUGAGGGGGGCUGCUCCUAGUACGAGAGGACCGGAGUGGACGCAUCACUGGUGUUCGGGUUGUCAUGCCAAUGGCACUGCCCGGUAGCUAAAUGCGGAAGAGAUAAGUGCUGAAAGCAUCUAAGCACGAAACUUGCCCCGAGAUGAGUUCUCCCUGACUCCUUGAGAGUCCUGAAGGAACGUUGAAGACGACGACGUUGAUAGGCCGGGUGUGUAAGCGCAGCGAUGCGUUGAGCUAACCGGUACUAAUGAACCGUGAGGCUUAACCUU
RNAcentral lists this ribosomal RNA (2904 nucleotides) under Escherichia coli. RNAcentral describes it as "23S ribosomal RNA". It matches the Rfam family "Bacterial large subunit ribosomal RNA". The record is from RNAcentral. Lineage: Bacteria; Pseudomonadati; Pseudomonadota; Gammaproteobacteria; Enterobacterales; Enterobacteriaceae.